This 494-nucleotide ribosomal RNA is filed under the name uncultured bacterium. RNAcentral's name for it is "partial 16S ribosomal RNA". It matches the Rfam family "Bacterial small subunit ribosomal RNA", at positions 28 to 507 of the family's 1533-position model. The record is from RNAcentral.
GACGAACGCUGGCGGCGUGCUUAACACAUGCAAGUCGAACGGAAAGGCCUGUCCUUCCUUGUGUUGGACGGGUACUCGAGUGGCGAACGGGUGAGUAACACGUGAGUGAUCUGCCCCCAACUUGGGUAUAAGCCUGGGAAACUGGGUCUAAUUCCCGAUAGGACUGCAGGGUGGUGCCUGUGGUGGAAAACGAUUUUCUAGUGGUUGGGGAUGAGCUCGCGGCCUAUCAGCUUGUUGGUGGGGUAAUGGCCUACCAAGGCGGCGACGGGUAGCCGGCCUGAGAGGGUGGACGGCCACAUUGGGACUGAGAUACGGCCCAGACUCCUACGGGAGGCAGCAGUGGGGAAUAUUGCACAAUGGGCGGAAGCCUGAUGCAGCGACGCCGCGUGGGGGAUGACGGCCUUUGGGUUGUAAACUCCUUUCGACCGCGAGGAAGCCGCCUGGUUGGAAGGGUGGUGACGGUAGUGGUAGAAGAAGCACCGGCUAACUACGUG